This is a long non-coding RNA of Vidua macroura (Pin-tailed whydah), 378 nucleotides long. RefSeq lists it as uncharacterized. The record is from RefSeq and is a predicted model, not a curated record. NCBI's taxonomy places the organism in Eukaryota, Metazoa, Chordata, Aves, Passeriformes, Viduidae. The transcript is spliced from 2 exons.
CGGACUCGCACUCGGAGGCGCCGCUGGUGUUGGUGCCCUCGGACGGCAGCGCCGGGCACAGCUGGAGCCGCUUGCAGGAGGGCUGGACGCGGGGCUCGUCCUCAUACAGCACCUCCACCUGGAGAUGGGAAAGGAGGGAUCCAAACCAUGGGAUCCAUGGAUCCAAACCCCAGGAAAGGAUGGAUCCAAACCCCAGAAAAAAACCCAGGAAAGGAUGGAUCCAAACCCAGGGAAAGGAGGGAUCCAAACCACGGGAUCCAUGGAUCCAAACCCCAGGAAAGGAUGGAUCCAAACCCCAGAAAAAAACCCAGGAAAGGAUGGAUCCAAACCCAGGGAAAGGAUGGCUCAAGCCUCAGGGAACGGAGGGAUCCAAACCCC